RNAcentral lists this ribosomal RNA (290 nucleotides) under uncultured Chaetoceros. RNAcentral's name for it is "partial Bacterial small subunit ribosomal RNA". It matches the Rfam family "Bacterial small subunit ribosomal RNA", at positions 1 to 296 of the family's 1533-position model. Lineage: Eukaryota; Bacillariophyta; Thalassiosirophyceae; Chaetocerotales; Chaetocerotaceae. The record is from RNAcentral.
UUGAAGAGUUUGAUCAUGGCUCAGAUUGAACGCUGGCGGCAGGCCUAACACAUGCAAGUCGAGCGGUAGAGAGAAGCUUGCUUCUCUUGAGAGCGGCGGACGGGUGAGUAAUGCAUAGGAAACUGCCCAGUAGUGGGGGAUAGCCCGGGGAAACCCGGAUUAAUACCGCAUGAUCUCGCAAGAGCAAAGUGGGGGAUCGCAAGACCUCACGCUUUUAGAGGAACCUACGUCGGAUUAGCUUGUUGGUGAGGUAACGGCUCACCAAGGCGACGAUGCGUAGCCGACCUGAG